RNAcentral lists this ribosomal RNA (253 nucleotides) under uncultured bacterium. Its description in RNAcentral is "partial 16S ribosomal RNA". It matches the Rfam family "Bacterial small subunit ribosomal RNA", at positions 524 to 776 of the family's 1533-position model. The record is from RNAcentral.
UACGUAGGGGGCGAGCGUUGUCCGGAUUUAUUGGGCGUAAAGAGCGUGUAGGCGGCCAGGUAGGUCUGCUGUGAAAACUCGAGGCUCAACCUCGAGACGUCGGCGGAAACCAUCUGGCUAGAGUCCGGAAGAGGAGAGUGGAAUUCCCGGUGUAGCGGUGAAAUGCGCAGAUAUCGGGAAGAACACCCGUGGCGAAGGCGGUUCUCUGGGACGGUACUGACGCUGAGACGCGAAAGCGUGGGGAGCGAACAGG